RNAcentral lists this ribosomal RNA (313 nucleotides) under Metalibitia paraguayensis. Its description in RNAcentral is "partial 12S ribosomal RNA". The record is from RNAcentral. Lineage: Eukaryota; Metazoa; Arthropoda; Arachnida; Opiliones; Cosmetidae.
CCCUAUUAUGAAUAUUUAUUUUUGAUUAUUAUGUAAUGAAAUUUUAAAAUUUUGGCGGUUAGUUAUUUAUUAGAGGAGCUUGUUAUAGAAUUUGCUCUUUUUAUUUUAUUUAUUUUUGUUUAUUUAUCUCCGUUAUUAGGUUUAAAUUGGAAGAGUAUAAGCUUUUAUUUCAGGUCAAGAUGUAGCAAAAAUUUGUUUAGAUUAGCUACAAUUAUGUUUUAUAAUGGAGAUUUUGAGUGGAGAUAUUUAUUGAAAUUGAAUUUGAUUGUAACAAUUAAUUAGAAAAUUAAUGUGAAUUUUUAUAAUUAAUGUA